GUGCCAGCAGCCGCGGUAAUACAGAGGGUGCAAGCGUUAAUCGGAAUUACUGGGCGUAAAGCGCGCGUAGGUGGUUAGUUAAGUUGGAUGUGAAAUCCCCGGGCUCAACCUGGGAACUGCAUUCAAAACUGACUAACUAGAGUAUGGUAGAGGGUGGUGGAAUUUCCUGUGUAGCGGUGAAAUGCGUAGAUAUAGGAAGGAACACCAGUGGCGAAGGCGACCACCUGGACUGAUACUGACACUGAGGUGCGAAAGCGUGGGGAGCAAACAGGAUUAGAUACCCCUGUAGUCC
Molecule: ribosomal RNA, 292 nt
Filed under: Escherichia coli
Lineage: Bacteria; Pseudomonadati; Pseudomonadota; Gammaproteobacteria; Enterobacterales; Enterobacteriaceae
Description: partial 16S ribosomal RNA
Rfam family: Bacterial small subunit ribosomal RNA
Source: RNAcentral